AGUCAAGUAAUUAAGUGCAUGUGGUGGAUGCCUUGGCAGUCAGAGGCGAUGAAAGACGUGAUAGCCUGCGAAAAGCUCCGGGAGGCGGCAAAUAUCCUUUGAUCCGGAGAUGUCUGAAUGGGGGAACCCACCUACUUUAAGGUAGGUAUUGCAACAUGAAUACAUAGUGUUGCAAGGCGAACGAGGGGAAGUGAAACAUCUCAGUACCCUUAGGAAAAGAAAUCAAUUGAGAUUCCCUCAGUAGCGGCGAGCGAACGGGGAUCAGCCCAUUAAGUUAUGUGUGUUUUAGUGGAACGCUCUGGGAAGUGCGAACGUAGAGGGUGAUAUUCCCGUACACGAAAGGGCACACAUAAUGAUGACGAGUAGGGCGAGGCACGUGAAACCUUGUCUGAAUAUGGGGGGACCAUCCUCCAAGGCUAAAUACUCCUGACUGACCGAUAGUGAACCAGUACCGUGAGGGAAAGGCGAAAAGAACCCCUGUGAGGGGAGUGAAAUAGAUCCUGAAACCGCAUGCAUACAAGCAGUGGGAGCACCUUCGUGGUGUGACUGCGUACCUUUGUAUAAUGGGUCAGCGACUUAUAUUCAGUAGCGAGGUUAACCGUAUAGGGGAGCCGUAGAGAAAUCGAGUCUUAAUAGGGCGUUUAGUUGCUGGGUAUAGACCCGAAACCAGGCGAUCUAUCCAUGAGCAGGUUGAAGGUUGGGUAACACUAACUGGAGGACCGAACCCACUGUCGUUGAAAAGCCAGGGGAUGACUUGUGGAUAGGGGUGAAAGGCUAAUCAAGCCUGGUGAUAGCUGGUUCUCCCCGAAAGCUAUUUAGGUAGCGCCUCGGACGAAUACCAUAGGGGGUAGAGCACUGUUUCGGCUAGGGGGUCAUCCCGACUUACCAAACCGAUGCAAACUCCGAAUACCUAUGAGUACUAUCCGGGAGACAGACUGCGGGUGCUAACGUCCGUAGUCAAGAGGAAAACAAUCCAGACCGCCAGCUAAGGCCCCAAAAUCAUAGUUAAGUGGGAAACGAUGUGGGAAGGCAUAGACAGCUAGGAGGUUGGCUUAGAAGCAGCCACCCUUUAAAGAAAGCGUAAUAGCUCACUAGUCGAGUCGGCCUGCGCGGAAGAUGUAACGGGGCUAAAACUAUGUGCCGAAGCUGCGGAUGUAUACUUUGUAUACGUGGUAGGGGAGCGUUCUGUAAGCCGAUGAAGGUGUGUUGAGAAGCAUGCUGGAGGUAUCAGAAGUGCGAAUGCUGACGUGAGUAACGACAAAACGGGUGAAAAACCCGUUCGCCGAAAGACCAAGGGUUCCAGUCCAACGUUAAUCGGGGCUGGGUGAGUCGACCCCCAAGGCGAGGCCGAAAGGCGUAGCCGAUGGGAAAAUGGUUAAUAUUCCAUUACUUCUGCGUAAUGCGAUGAGAGGAUGGAGAAGGCAAAAUCAGCCUGGCGUUGGUUGUCCAGGUGAAAGGAUGUAGGCAUGUAUCUUAGGCAAAUCCGGGGUACUCUAUGCUGAGAUCUGAUAGCAAGCUGUACUUGUACAGCGAAGUGGUUGAUGCCAUGCUUCCAGGAAAAGUCUCUAAGCUUCAGUUACACAGGAAUCGUACCCGAAACCGACACAGGUGGUCAGGUCGAGUAGACCAAGGCGCUUGAGAGAACUCUGCUGAAGGAACUAGGCAAAAUGGUACCGUAACUUCGGGAGAAGGUACGCUGUUGUUGGUGAUGGAACUCGCUUCCUGAGCUGACGACAGCCGCAGAAACCAGGCCGCUGCAACUGUUUAUUAAAAACAUAGCACUCUGCAAACACGAAAGUGGACGUAUAGGGUGUGAUGCCUGCCCGGUGCUGGAAGGUUAAUUGAUGGGGUUAGCGUAAGCGAAGCUCUUGAUCGAAGCCCCAGUAAACGGCGGCCGUAACUAUAACGGUCCUAAGGUAGCGAAAUUCCUUGUCGGGUAAGUUCCGACCUGCACGAAUGGCAUAAUGAUGGCGGCGCUGUCUCCAGCAGAGGCUCAGUGAAAUCGAAAUCGCUGUGAAGAUGCAGUGUACCCGCGGCUAGACGGAAAGACCCCGUGAACCUUUACUGCAGCUUGACACUGAACUUUGACCUUACUUGUGUAGGAUAGGUGGGAGGCUUUGAAGCUGGAACGCUAGUUCCAGUGGAGCCGUCCUUGAAAUACCACCCUGGUAAUGUUGAGGUUCUAACUCUGUCCCGUGAUCCGGGACGAGGACCGUGUCUGGUGGGUAGUUUGACUGGGGCGGUCUCCUCCUAAAGAGUAACGGAGGAGUACGAAGGUGCGCUCAGCGUGGUCGGAAAUCACGCGUAGAGUAUAAAGGCAAAAGCGCGCUUAACUGCGAGACCCACAAGUCGAGCAGGUACGAAAGUAGGUCUUAGUGAUCCGGUGGUUCUGUAUGGAAGGGCCAUCGCUCAACGGAUAAAAGGUACUCUGGGGAUAACAGGCUGAUACCGCCCAAGAGUUCAUAUCGACGGCGGUGUUUGGCACCUCGAUGUCGGCUCAUCUCAUCCUGGGGCUGAAGCAGGUCCCAAGGGUAUGGCUGUUCGCCAUUUAAAGAGGUACGCGAGCUGGGUUUAGAACGUCGUGAGACAGUUCGGUCCCUAUCUACCGUGGGCGCUGGAAAUUUGAGAGGAUCUGCUCCUAGUACGAGAGGACCAGAGUGGACGAACCUCUGGUGUACCGGUUGUGACGCCAGUCGCAUCGCCGGGUAGCUAUGUUCGGAAGGGAUAACCGCUGAAAGCAUCUAAGCGGGAAGCCUACCUCAAGAUAAGAUUUCCCUAGGACUUUAUGUCCUCUAAAGAGCCGUUCGAGACUAGGACGUUGAUAGGUUGGAUGUGGAAGCAUAGUGAUAUGUGAAGCUGACCAAUACUAAUUGCUCGUGAGGCUUGACUAU
RNAcentral lists this ribosomal RNA (2891 nucleotides) under Acinetobacter baumannii. RNAcentral describes it as "23S ribosomal RNA". It matches the Rfam family "Bacterial large subunit ribosomal RNA". The record is from RNAcentral. Lineage: Bacteria; Pseudomonadati; Pseudomonadota; Gammaproteobacteria; Moraxellales; Moraxellaceae.